This 787-nucleotide ribosomal RNA is filed under the name uncultured bacterium. RNAcentral describes it as "bacterial SSU rRNA". It matches the Rfam family "Bacterial small subunit ribosomal RNA", at positions 60 to 849 of the family's 1533-position model. The record is from RNAcentral.
AGUCGAGGGGUAACAGGUCUUCGGACGCUGACGACCGGCAAACGGGUGCGGAACACGUACGCAACAUACCCUUUACAGGGGGAUAGCCCGGAGAAAUCCGGAUUAACACCCCAUAGUAUAUUUGAGAGGCAUCUCUCGAUUAUUAAAAAUUUAUUGGUAAAGGAUUGGCGUGCGUCCCAUUAGAUAGUUGGCGGGGUAAUGGCCCACCAAGUCAGCGAUGGGUAGCUGGUGUGAGAGCACGACCAGCCACACGGGCACUGAGACACGGGCCCGACUCCUACGGGAGGCAGCAGUGAGGAAUAUUGGUCAAUGGACGCAAGUCUGAACCAGCCAUGCCGCGUGGAGGAUGACAGCCUUCUGGGUUGUAAACUUCUUUUAUAUGGGAAGAAAAGUACGGUUUCUACUGUAUCCGACGGUACCAUAUGAAUAAGCACCGGCUAACUCCGUGCCAGCAGCCGCGGUAAUACGGAGGGUGCAAGCGUUAUCCGGAUUUACUGGGUUUAAAGGGUGUGUAGGCGGAUAUUUAAGUCAGAGGUGAAAUCUCCGGGCUCAACCCGGAAACUGCCUUUGAUACUAUUUAUCUUGAAUUUCGUUGAGGUUGGCGGAAUAUAUCAUGUAGCGGUGAAAUGCAUAGAUAUGAUAUAGAACACCGAUUGCGUAGGCAGCUGGCUGAACGAACAUUGACGCUGAGGCACGAAAGCGUGGGUAGCGAACAGGAUUAGAUACCCUGGUAGUCCACGCCCUAAACGAUGAUUACUCGACAUACGCGAUACACAGUGUGUGUCUG